AGUGAACGCUGGCGGUAGGCCUAACACAUGCAAGUCGAACGGCAGCACAGUAAGAGCUUGCUCUUACGGGUGGCGAGUGGCGGACGGGUGAGGAAUACAUCGGAAUCUACUUUUUCGUGGGGGAUAACGUAGGGAAACUUACGCUAAUACCGCAUAUGACCUACGGGUGAAAGCAGGGGAUCUUCGGACCUUGCGCGAUUGAAUGAGCCGAUGUCGGAUUAGCUAGUUGGCGGGGUAAAGGCCCACCAAGGCGACGAUCCGUAGCUGGUCUGAGAGGAUGAUCAGCCACACUGGAACUGAGACACGGUCCAGACUCCUACGGGAGGCAGCAGUGGGGAAUAUUGGACAAUGGGCGCAAGCCUGAUCCAGCCAUACCGCGUGGGUGAAGAAGGCCUUCGGGUUGUAAAGCCCUUUUGUUGGGAAAGAAAAGCAGCAGGUUAAUACCCCGCUGUUCUGACGGUACCCAAAGAAUAAGCACCGGCUAACUUCGU
This 491-nucleotide ribosomal RNA is filed under the name uncultured bacterium. Its description in RNAcentral is "partial 16S ribosomal RNA". It matches the Rfam family "Bacterial small subunit ribosomal RNA", at positions 29 to 506 of the family's 1533-position model. The record is from RNAcentral.